UGCUGUUGUGACGUCAUACAGGAGAGCUAGAGAUAAGCGUCUCUUGAAGGAGAAACACUCGUUUGGCUUGGUGCUCGUGAGAGUUGAAAGCAAUUGUCGUGUUCUUUGACGGUCCUAGUCGUUAGUCACCAUCUUUGUUGAGCGCUUACACGAAGUGAAGCCUUUAGCGAUGUUUUGGGAGAAUCUCGCUUCAAAACCCCCUGAGGGAAAACCGAGAGAAACUGCCCGCUGCGAACGUCGCGCAGUGUCCGCCCUUCGUGCUAAAUACAGCAGACGUGUCGCUCCCUAUUCUCUGGCAGAGUUUAGGGAUAAAGUGGCUAAGUGGGAUAGCACAAAUGUGAUGAACACCGGGCCCACGUUAUUUCAGAACGCAGUUCCCUUGAACAUGGAGAGUGAGCCAAUGGACAUCUCUCCUCAGAGUUCUGCUUCUGCUGUGCCACAGCAAAGUCAUACAUGCACAACAGUUAUCCGGGAUAAACACAGGAGACAUUUCGCUCCCGCGCAUUUGAAAAGAAAAGUUCCUGAGUGCGAUAGCACAAAUGUGAUGAACACCGGGCCCACGUUAUUUCAGAACGCAGUUCCCUUGAACAUGGAGAGUGAGCCAAUGGACAUCUCUCCUCAGAGUUCUGCUUCUGCUGUGCCACAGAAAAGUCAUAGGGAAACACGCAAGAAGAAAAGGUUAAGAGAAAAUGCAGCGAACAAGUCUCAUACAGCAGACGGAUCUGCAUCUCAAUGUUCAUCUCAAGUCCAGCGCACACCUGCACAAGAUCAUCGCAGGGAUUGUGAUGUGAGGGCCAGAGAAAGAAGAGACGGAUCGUCUGUUAGAGCCGACAGAUCUGAAUGUUCAUCUCAAGUCCAGCGCACACCUGCACAAGAUCAUCGCAGGGAUUGUGAUGUGAGGGCCAGAGAAAGAAGAGACGGAUCGUCUGUUAGAGCCGACAGAUCUGAACGUUCAUGUCCUUAUGUCAGAUGCUGAUCUGCCCAGACUGCCGGUGAACAAAGUGCUACUGCUAUUUCAAAGUGAAAUGAAGAAAGUCUUAAAGCUGUGCAGUUUUCAAGCAUCUAGCAACAGGAAGCUAGCUUUGAGAACAAAAAUAAUUUGGUACCACACACACAAGAGAGAAGAUGAGGGAAGCUAAUCCUAGGAGGAGUCACACAACCAGGAAUGCGGCUUGUAUUACCUUCUUUAGUUUCUUAGCUUGUCCUCCGUGUUUCCUGCCUGUAGCAUUAGCGUUGGUCUGUUAGUUUGUUGUCUGUGUUCUUGUCCCUGAACGUUACAUCUCUUAGUUUAUUGUCAGUGGUUUCUGCCUAUUGUCUCUUGUCGCGUCGUGCCGCAUCCGUGUAGACACGAUGUUAGCUUAUCGUCCAUGUUUACUCCCCAUAGUCUUAAGUUUGUCUCUUAGCUUGUCGUCCGCGUUUACUGUUUGUAGUCUUACGUUUGUCUCUUAGCUUGUCGUCCGCGUUUACUGUUUGUAGUCUUACGUUUGUCUCUUAGCUUGUCGUCCGCGUUUACUGUUUGUAGUCUUACGUUUGUCUCUUAGCUUGUCGUCCGCGUUUACUGUUUGUAGUCUUACGUUUGUCUCUUAGCUUGUCGUCCGCGUUUACUGUUUGUAGUCUUACGUUUGUCUCUUAGCUUGUCGUCCGCGUUUACUGUUUGUAGUCUUACGUUUGUCUCUUAGCUUGUCGUCCGCGUUUACUGUUUGUAGUCUUACGUUUGUCUCUUAGCUUGUCGUCCGCGUUUACUGUUUGUAGUCUUACGUUUGUCUCUUAGCUUGUCGUCCGCGUUUACUGUUUGUAGUCUUACGUUUGUCUCUUAGCUUGUCGUCCGCGUUUACUGUUUGUAGUCUUACGUUUGUCUCUUAGCUUGUCGUCCGCGUUUACUGUUUGUAGUCUUACGUUUGUCUCUUAGCUUGUCGUCCGCGUUUACUGUUUGUAGUCUUACGUUUGUCUCUUAGCUUGUCGUCCGCGUUUACUGUUUGUAGUCUUACGUUUGUCUCUUAGCUUGUCGUCCGCGUUUACUGUUUGUAGUCUUACGUUUGUCUCUUAGCUUGUCGUCCGCGUUUACUGUUUGUAGUCUUACGUUUGUCUCUUAGCUUGUCGUCCGCGUUUACUGUUUGUAGUCUUACGUUUGUCUCUUAGCUUGUCGUCCGCGUUUACUGUUUGUAGUCUUACGUUUGUCUCUUAGCUUGUCGUCCGCGUUUACUGUUUGUAGUCUUACGUUUGUCUCUUAGCUUGUCGUCCGCGUUUACUGUUUGUAGUCUUACGUUUGUCUCUUAGCUUGUCGUCCGCGUUUACUGUUUGUAGUCUUACGUUUGUCUCUUAGCUUGUCGUCCGCGUUUACUGUUUGUAGUCUUACGUUUGUCUCUUAGCUUGUCGUCCGCGUUUACUGUUUGUAGUCUUACGUUUGUCUCUUAGCUUGUCGUCCGCGUUUACUGUUUGUAGUCUUACGUUUGUCUCUUAGCUUGUCAUCCGCGUUUACUGUUUGUAGUCUUACGUUUGUCUCUUAGCUUGUCUUUCGCGUUUACUGUUUGUAGUCUUACGUUUGUCUCUUAGCUUGGCGUCCGCGUUUACUGUUUGUAGCCUUAUGUUUGUCUCUUAGCUUGUCAUCCGCCUUUACUGUUUGUAGUCUUACGUUUGUCUCUUAGCUUGUCGCCCAUGUUUUCCGUUUGUAGUCUUACAUUUUGUGGCAGGCAGAAAGCAAGACAGUCAUAGUACUUCACGAGUUUAGCCCCGAGGGUGAUUUACUACAAGAUGGGUGCUAGUGGAACCGGUGGUGAGAGCUGUGAGGGAAUUAGCUUGGUCCGUUCCAAAUGUGAAUCUUGGUAGUGUUCGAUCCUGGGGCGUGAAAGGAAAGAGUUUCCGUGGGUGGUGGGUGGUGCCUGCCAAUCGUCAGCCCCUGGUCUCUAUAACAAAUAGACAGCAAUACGUUAGUCAUGAGAAUAACCAGUGGAGAACAAGCUCACCCUCUCCUCUUCUUCUGCCGUUUAUAAAGGGUGAGCUUGAUGGGGCGCAGGUGCCAACGAUCGGCAGGUGUGGCAGCUUGAUUGCGCCGUUGCCUUGGCGACGCUGAUUUGCCAUUGGCCCGCUCAUCACAAUUUGGAUAGUUCAACAGUAAUCAGUCUGAAUAUAACAGUAACAAAUUAUUUUUAAACAACACUGGGUGACGUUUCGCUACAUCACAAGAGGGCGCCACUAACAAUCACAAACAUGCGAUACACAGCUGAUCGUUGCAGAUUUGGGACCACCGGCCACCUUGGAAAACUCAUCGCUCAAAUAAAAGUUCAGAGAGCUUAAAGAGCUUAAAACAUAAACAUUUUUUAAUAUAAAGUAACAGUGUAAUGUUACAUGUCCUUACGAAAAUUAACCAUGGUUUAAAACAAAAAACGAACAACAUGGUUUUACCGCAGUUAAAAAAAAAACUUGGUUACUGUUGAAAACCAUAGUUAAACCAUGGUUACUGUCAUAGUUAAAACAUGAGUUUGCCAGAAGUAAUCAAUACACCAAAAAACCAUGGUUACUACACUUUUACCACCAAAAUGGUUAAUUUUUGUAAGGGUGAUGUUACGUAUGACUCUAACACCGUUCACACAGACCGUUGAUCCCAGAAAAUUGCGUAAAAUUGCUACAGCUUGUGAAUGCAAACGCAUCCCAGUAUUGAUCCGUGAUCCAUUCCAGGAAGGGGACCUAUAACAUUGUCGGGAUCAGUCCCGGAAAGUGCCCUGUGUGAAAGGCAGGAAUAAUGCCGUAAGGGGUGUGUACUAGUUAUUACACGCAUAUAAAUCGUAAAUUUACUGGCUAUGAAAACAAGAGUUAAGCGAGUAAUUUAUCUUCGACAAUUAUUCGAAAACUUAAAAACCAUUCCUGUUUAGCUAAAUCAUGCAUUUUCAACUUUUGUAGCUGUGUGUACCUGUGGCGCAGCGCUGCGGAGAAGCUUGCGAGUUUCUCUGCAGACACCGGCUUUGUUGACUUUAACCCGAAUAUUUAGAUGUGCUUGUUAUUCAAUAUCAAAACCAUUGUAAACAAUAUAAACAAGUGUUUAUGUAAGGUUUUUAUAGUAUUAGGUGCAAUCUGCUUUAUUAACAGGGUUUCAUUCGCUCUGGUCCGUUUACCCCCCCCCAUCCAAUCCAAUCCGUGUAUCAUUCAUUCAGUCAGUUUUUGAUAUAAGAUUGAAAGUUGAAAAAUGAGAAAACGGCUUCUUUUUUCUUAAUUUUUUCUCAAAAAAACAAUUCAGCUCGAUUUUUCAGUUUUUGUUCAGGGAUAGAAAUAUGAAUUAACAGCUUGAAUAUUUGAUCUCUUCGUGUGGGUGGGAAUCUCCCCAUUCUGGCGCCAUCCACGAACCGGAAACAUUUACUGAAUGUGCUCUUCACGAGUUCGCAGAGAAUGAAUGAAUGAAUGAAUGAGGCAUUUAUAUAGCGCUUUUCUGUGUAUUGCUGUACACCCAAAGCGCUUUACAAUCAUAUGAGGGGAGUCUCUCCUCAACCACCACCAGUGUGCAGCAUCCACCUGGAUGAUGCGACGGCAGCCACUGUACAUUGGCGCCAGUGCGCUCACCACACACCAGCUAUAGGUGGAGAGGAGAGAGAGAGAUAGAGCCAAUUCAGAGGGUGGGGGUUAUUACUGCUUGCAUCGCUGCCGGCGGCUUGUUUGUAUCCCCCCACUUCGCUCUAAUAUUAGUGUAUUUUAUUAUUGUUACUUAUCAUUGUCGUUGCUAACUUAUCCGGAUAUCUCAAUAACUCUGUUCUUGUUAUUUACUUGAAGAUUCUAAACCAAAAUUGAUAGUUAACUUAAUGCCGUUAGCAUAGCAAUAGCGUGUUAGCUUGCUUUCUGUUCACACUGUGGAAUAUCAUCUUGCCUCUGGUUUGUCUUGUGUGCUAACUGUUUCUCUUUUUAAGCGAGUAUACUACGAUCCAUCGAGCAACCUUGGUAAGUUGGAAUUGCACUUCAAAUCCGGUGAGUUAUGGCUUCUAUUCCUAUUAUUGUUACUUGCACCUCAUGUCAUAUGUUUAGCUUAGCCUUCUCUGUCAGCUGCGAGGGCUUUAUAUGCGAUAAAU
This is an RNA transcript of Triplophysa rosa, 5051 nucleotides long. RefSeq lists it as uncharacterized. The transcript is spliced from 11 exons. NCBI's taxonomy places the organism in Eukaryota, Metazoa, Chordata, Actinopteri, Cypriniformes, Nemacheilidae. The record is from RefSeq and is a predicted model, not a curated record.